RNAcentral lists this ribosomal RNA (690 nucleotides) under uncultured Acidobacteriota bacterium. RNAcentral describes it as "bacterial SSU rRNA". It matches the Rfam family "Bacterial small subunit ribosomal RNA", at positions 15 to 684 of the family's 1533-position model. Lineage: Bacteria; Pseudomonadati; Acidobacteriota. The record is from RNAcentral.
GAUCCUGGCUCAGAAUCAACGCUGGCGGCGUGCCUAACACAUGCAAGUCGAACGCGAAAGCCCCGCAAGGGGUAAGUAGAGUGGCAAACGGGUGAGUAACACGUGGGUGACCUGCCUUCGAGUGGGGGAUAACGUCCCGAAAGGGACGCUAAUACCGCAUGACAUCCUGCUCUUGGACGAGCGGAGAUCAAAGCUGGGGAUCGCAAGACCUGGCGCUUGAAGAGGGGCCCGCGCCUGAUUAGCUAGUUGGUGAGGUAACGGCUCACCAAGGCGACGAUCAGUAUCCGGCCUGAGAGGGCGGACGGACACACUGGGACUGAGACACGGCCCAGACUCCUACGGGAGGCAGCAGUGGGGAAUUGUUCGCAAUGGGCGCAAGCCUGACGACGCAACGCCGCGUGGAGGAUGAAGAUCUUCGGGUCGUAAACUCCUGUCGAGCGGGAAGAACGUUUCGCGGAUGAAUAAGCCGCGGAAGUGACGGUACCGCUAAAGGAAGCCCCGGCUAACUCCGUGCCAGCAGCCGCGGUAAUACGGGGGGGGCAAGCGUUGUUCAGAAUUACUGGGCGUAAAGGGCUCGUAGGUGGCCAACUAAGUCAGACGUGAAAUCCCCAGGCUUAACCUGGGAACUGCGUCUGAUACUGGAUGGCUUGAAUUCGGGAGAGGGAUGCAGAAUUCCAGGUGUAGCGGUGA